CACCAGUUACUAAGACCCAGAGGGGUCUGCACUUUGGGAGAUGGAAGAGCGCCAUCUCCAUGAGAAACACCAACUUGCUAAAAGACAACUCAAGGAUAUUUUCUUCCUUCAGAGACAUCAGAUGCUUUUGAGACACGAAAAGGAAUUGGAACAAGUUAAACGAGUCAACCAGCAGAAGGAAGAAGAACUGAUUAAGAGGCAGCAGAUUGAAAAGAGGCAGUUACCAAAGCGCAUCCGUCAGGAGAUGAAAGCCCUGA
Penaeus monodon (black tiger shrimp) is the source of this 257-nucleotide long non-coding RNA. RefSeq lists it as uncharacterized. The transcript has 3 exons. Lineage: Eukaryota; Metazoa; Arthropoda; Malacostraca; Decapoda; Penaeidae. The record is from RefSeq and is a predicted model, not a curated record.